Molecule: unclassified non-coding RNA, 213 nt
Filed under: Glomeraceae sp.
Lineage: Eukaryota; Fungi; Glomeromycota; Glomeromycetes; Glomerales; Glomeraceae
Description: partial contains 5.8S ribosomal RNA and internal transcribed spacer 2
Rfam family: 5.8S ribosomal RNA (bases 1-71)
Source: RNAcentral
GUGAAUCAUCGAAUUUUUGAACGCAAAUUGCACUCCCUGGUAUUCCGGGAAGUAUGCCUGUUUGAGGGCCAGUAAAAUAAACAUCGGUGUUAUUGCUAUUAAGGGUGAUGCGUCGGAGUUGAGUCGUCUUUACCUUGGGUUUUAAGUGACAUAAAAUUAGGUACGAUUUCUGAACGUAUGUAAAUUAUCUACUUACGCUCAUGAUACCACACA